CCCAAAUGCACAGGUGACUUUUAAGUCACCCAGACUUGGCCAAGGGAAGGGUCGCCUGCUAGCAUUGGGGUUGUGGCUCCCACCACAGACGCUCCACUUCCCUGGGAACAUCGAUGACAGAGCUUCAUGUUGCUUUAAAGAGCUCACACAAAAAGAUGUUUUCUUUAGCCCUGACUGUACCUAACAGAUCACAAAGCUCAACCCCCCAGAGCCCGGAAACCAGGGCAGGAGGAGCUCCUAGUAAAAGGUAAUCUGUUCUCUACCUUCUCAGUGAAGAACCUCUCAGCUCCUGCUCCAGAAGCCUCUGUCACUGGCGUCCCUCCUCCGCCCUCGGGAAGGAAACCUCCUUUGUGGACCAGGCUGAGCACCGUGGUGCCUGGACAAGCCCCAAUGAGGUGCCUCGGAGCAGCUUUCUAGCUAAAGGGCCCAGCCGCCUCUGUGGAAUCGCGCAUGUGUGAAUCCGGACGGAAGCAGGCAUAUGGGGCACAGCCGGCAGUAUCAGCAGAGGUUAGGCUGGCACAGAGGAAGGACACCGCUUGAAUUAGGUCACGCCCUGGAUGCAGCUCUCUGCUGCUGAAGACAGGCCCUGGCAGUCACUUCCCGCCCCCAAGGAGGAGCAAUCUGCUCUGGAAUCUGGCCUCACAGGAGGAGGAGGCAGGGACGCAGAGCAGGGGGAGGCCACCCUGCUCCCUUCAAGUGGACCUUGGGGUCUGUUACUUCAUAGAAAGACGCGUUCAGUUCCCUUAUGGCACAGACGGAGGAUGCAGGGAGCACAGAUGCACAUGGACGCUCAGCUCGUUCUGAAAGGAAAAAAGACUCCACUCCAUUCGAGUUCAGAAAGUAAAUUCUCUGCGCCUGUAAUAUUUGUCAGCUCUGUGCAUUCCUGCGCUCUUCAAGGUCACUCCACUUCUGCAGUUCUGGGAUUCUGUCUGUUAAAUUUUGUUUCACUUUAGGUGUCAUUCAAAUAAAAGGGCAGAAAAGCCAAAGACCCACUUAAGAAAGGGAAAAAGGCUUGUGUGUGUGUGUGUGUAACCAGCAUCCAGUAGCAGAAGAAUGAAGCUAACUGUGCUUUUAUUUUCUUUCCCUUUUAUCAUUAGAGCUUAUUAAAAUUAAAGCCCUUCCAAAGUUUCCCCAAUUCAAAUCCAUACCAUUUAAAGGUAAACCAGUGCCAGAAUCAUGGGUCUAGAAAUGCUCACAUGUUCUCAUUCUAUGCAGUCAGACAGAGGUCCUGUUGGUGUGCGAUAACCUCUGGGCCCUGAGACCAGUCUAUGCAGGGGUAAAACAUCAGCGGGCAGGGAGACCCCAGCAUUUUUCUUUUUCCUAGAAACAAAUUUUAACUGAUCUCUAGAUACAAAUUUUAGCAAAUUCACGAGAAGUUGAGAUUCAAGACUAAGCCAAAUGCAGGACAAAGAUCACAGAGGUCCCUCUGUCAUGUAGGAGCGGGGAAAGAAGCAGGACACCUGCUCUAAAAUGACCAGCAAUUAUUUAGUUCUGUGGAGUUUUCGUUGGAUUUCAGGGAUGAAUGUGCGGC
Molecule: long non-coding RNA, 1531 nt
Filed under: Fukomys damarensis (Damara mole-rat)
Lineage: Eukaryota; Metazoa; Chordata; Mammalia; Rodentia; Bathyergidae
Description: lncRNA (ENSFDAG00000027927.1)
Source: RNAcentral